Molecule: ribosomal RNA, 252 nt
Filed under: Enterococcus faecium
Lineage: Bacteria; Bacillati; Bacillota; Bacilli; Lactobacillales; Enterococcaceae
Description: partial 16S ribosomal RNA
Rfam family: Bacterial small subunit ribosomal RNA
Source: RNAcentral
UUUUAUGAGAGUUUGAUCCUGGCUCAGGACGAACGCUGGCGGCGUGCCUAAUACAUGCAAGUCGAACGCCUCUUUUUCCACCGGAGCUUGCUCCACCGGAAAAAGAGGAGUGGCGAACGGGUGAGUAACACGUGGGUAACCUGCCCAUCAGAAGGGGAUAACACUUGGAAACAGGUGCUAAUACCGUAUAACAAUCAAAACCGCAUGGUUUUGAUUUGAAAGGCGCUUUCGGGUGUCGCUGAUGGAUGGACC